Long non-coding RNA from Gopherus evgoodei (Goodes thornscrub tortoise), 5824 nucleotides. RefSeq lists it as uncharacterized. NCBI's taxonomy places the organism in Eukaryota, Metazoa, Chordata, Testudines, Testudinidae. The record is from RefSeq and is a predicted model, not a curated record. The transcript has 8 exons.
UCUGCUGAGUCAGCGUGAAGCAACGAAAGCAGCUACUGGCAAGGUUGAGUGCGUUCUUUGUUCAGAAUACCACCAGGCUCAGUCUUCACUGGGAUUCGUGCUCUGUUACUGUCCAAUCUAGAAACUCUAUCAAAUAACAGCAUGAAGCCAGCACAUUUGCAAUGACAUUGGAAGGCAAAAUACCCUGUGCAUGUGGGGUAGCCAGGAGAAUGUUUUCAGAGUUCCGGAAUUGCCAGCUUUAAAUGAAAACAAGCUUUGGUAAGCACUAUACCAUCUGCAGAUAGUGGUGGAGAGAAUACAUUAAAGAUGGUGAGGUGCUCAGAUACAACGACCGUGAAUCCCACUGAAGACUGAACCUGGUGAUAUUCUGAAGCAAAAGAGCUCUAGAGGCUGCCUGUAGCUGCUUCCACCAUCUCCUCACACUGACUCAACAGACAUUCCAGCCUCCAGGGUGAUGUUCCUGGAAUCUUCUUAUAUCUAUGAAUAUGCACAGCUCAAGGACCGCAGGACAGUGUCAGCAUGGGGUGAGCACUGCUUACUACUUGAACCUCUGGAGAAUGUUAAACAAAAGCUACUACGGUAAGACAUUUUCAAAGCAGCAGACUCAGAUAACUUGCAUUCAAGAGUUUUAAAAGAGCUGGAUGUGGAUCUCACUGGAUCAUCAAUGCUGAUUUUCAAUAAGUCUUGGCGCACUGCGGAAGUUCCAGAAGACCGCACUCUUCAUCUUCCCCAUAUGGACUCUGAACUGCCUAUCGUGAAGGAACAAUUCAACGACACCUGUGACCCAAGGUAGCAGGACCCGUGAUACCUUCAUGAGCAGGCCAGUGUGCCCUCCCGUAUCGUCAGGUCGAUGAAAACAGCACCUGUUUUCAAUUUUCUCUGGAAGCCAUUUUCAACAAAUGCGGUCAAUGCAUGUACUUGGUUGCAUGUGCUAUGGCCAUGACAUCAAUGAAAACAAUAUACCCAGCCAGGAUGAACACUGACCAUGACAUGCGUGUGUGCUUGUCAAAGACACCCCCAUGCCUGGACAGAAUUGUUGAUCAGCACCAGCAACAAGUUUCACACUAAGGGCAGGUCUGCACUACGGGGGAGACGUUCUCCAGUUGACCUCCCUUACUCUUCUGGAAGAGCUGGAGUACUGGGGUUGUCCAGAGAACACUAGACCUGCAAAAUCGAUCCCUGCUGCAUCAAUUGCUGCACCGUCGAUUUCCCUGUAGUGAAGACUAGCCCUGACCCUGGGCAGGAGGCAGCCUGCAAGCAGUCUCUGACCCUGGGAGAGCCCAAGAUGCUGGGAAAACAGAGGGAGUCUGAAUAGCCUGGCCUUCCCUCCCUGUGCGGAGCCCAGCUGUGGCAUGGACAUCUCCCUGCAGCCGGCCUGCAAAGUACUGCCAGGCCCGGCACAUGGCCUCUCUUUAAACUCAGCCUGCAAACAGGCCUCAGAGGGGACAAUCCACUUCUUCUGCCCCUCCUGCCUGCAACAAGAGGAGACCACCCGUCCCUCCUGCCACCACCUGCAGCCCUCCCACACCAGACACAGGAACAAGGGGAUGUUCAGUGACAUUGAAAGGUGAACAGUUAAAAACUAACAGGGAAAUGUUUUUUUUUCCACAUAAAGCACAAUUAGCCUGUGGAACUCACUGCCACUGCAACUCAAUGAGGCCCAGAGUUUAACAAGACUAAAAAAGGGCCUGGACAUUUCUAACAAGAAUAUCCAAAGCUGUCAUGAUUAAUGAUACCAUUUUUGGAAGGUAUAUUAAAGCUCUGGCUGAAGCCAAUCUCUGAUAUUAGAGAGCAAGAUGAAAGCUACCCGGGAAGGGGGCAAAUUAUCCCCAUCUGCUACUGCAGAGUUCUUGCGCCUUCCUCUGCAGCAUGUGGCGCUGCCACUGUUGGAGACCGGAGAGUGGGUUGAUUGGACCCCAGCUGUGGUCCAGUCUGGCAGUUCCUGUCACUGUUCCCUCCUGCGCCCCUGCACCCCCCCACACACUGUUUCCCUCGUAGAAAAGGACACACAAUGAUGAGGAUUACUUGCUCUUUGGAAUGGCCCCUUUCUAGCACCCCCCUAUAACCCUGCAGCCUGGCCGCAGUAAUGGGGGGCCAGUAGCUGCACUGCCCUGGAGCAGAGUCAAAGCCACUGCUCCCUGCUUUGCUCUAGGGGGUGGUAAGUUACCUCACCUCUCUUUGUGGAGCAGCUUACUCCCCGCUGUGUGCCUGGAGGGGAGGGGCAGAGCCAGGGCUACUCCCUCUGCCCUCCGCCACCCACCCACCCACAGCAGGAGGCCUGGCUGAAUAACUUUUGUUCUCUCCAGCUUGGCCAUUCCCCCUGUGAGUAGAGGAGAGCAGAGCAUGGCCCAGGGAGGGGCUAGAACAACCUAACCCCAUCCCUGGCUGGCUCUAGGGGGUGGGAUGGAGAAGCUUUGCAGCCCCAUUAGCCUUUGGGAAUUGCUUUGCCAUCACACAUAAAGUUCACACUCACGAGGUGUCCCCCUCCCCUCCCCAAGCCUGUCUGGCUGUCCCUGGCCAGUUCCCGCAUUGGGCUGUCUGGGACAGGCAGACAUGUGAGCUCACAGGAGCCCACUCUGCUCCCAGCACCACACAGGCAGCGCCUGGGCAUGCGCGGCAUCCUAACUUAGUCAGCAUGCUGUGCUGUCGGCUGGUGUGUGGUUCAGGGCACCUCCUGUCCCCCUCCUGGCAGCUCCCCCAUCCCCUCCCUGUGCACUACCAGUGAUUGACAGGCACUGUCCCGUCUCCUGGAAACAGUUAAACAGCCAGGAAAGGGGGUUUAAUCCUCAUGUCUGGCUGUCUUAUUUUUCUCCCUUCCCAACUGACGUUCAGGGAGCUCUUCCGUCUUCUCAGGCUCCAAGUAUGCUGGGAAACACUCCCUCCAUUCCGCAGCGGGGCCCUGUCAUUUCCCUUGGGCUCAGUUCAUUAUCAGAGCACAGGGAAACCAAGCGGGACAGGACCUUGACGGCAUGUGAAUGUCAGGAGGGACGGACAAACGAUUGGCCCCUAACAACGCAGACAAAGCCAAGGGCCUUUCCUUUGGUUCUAACAACUUAAACCAGAUCUUCCAUCUUUAUAAUUUAUAUUACCACAGUGCCUAGGACCCUGGUCACACACCAGGACCACGCUGGAUAGUAGAGAGACAAGCUGGGGGCAGGUAAUGUCUUUCAUUGGUGAAAGAGCCAAGCCUUCACUUUCAGAUAGAGCUCUCCUUUGGGUCAGCAAGCUCGGAAGCUCAUCUCUCUCACCAACCAUGGUUAGUCCAAUACAAGAUAUUCCCUCCCCUGCCUCGUCUUCUCUGUUCCUAACAGGUGGGUCCUCAGUCCAGAGCUGUGUACUUCUCCUGAAACAGCCUGAGACCUCACAGCCCCCACCCCAAAUCCAGCUGCUUUGCGGCAACUCCCUAGCUCCUUGCGUGGGGCAGAGAAAGCACAGACGCUGAACCCACAAUGAACAGGGGACAGCUCAGACAGGCCAGCAUGGGCAGUAGGUGUCCUGCACAGAUCUACGGGUGUUGCUGAGACUUGCACAGUGAUCUCACCCUUGCCCCACUGGCUGCCAGUACUUGUUUCUGCACUGCGGCCUCACUUUACACCUUUGUACUGUCGCCUCAGCACCCGCCUGUCUGCAGCAACGUAGCAGUUUAACAGCCACCCCACAGGAAUGGAUCUUGCCUCUGGGACUCUGCCGCAAGCCAGCCAACCCAUCAGAUAACUGUGCUUCAGACCCUGGUUCCUUUCCCAGCUCAUUGUCUGGCCGCAGCAACUUGGGUAGAUUUAAGGGGCUGGAUCCUCAUCUCAAACCAUCCCAUGAUAAACAGAUUUUAUUUUGUUCCAGCUUUUCAGCUCGGCUUUAUAGCAGCAGAUAAAACAAAAGAAGAGAAGCAAAGGGCUCUUUUGAUUGCACUGCUCUUCCAUCACAGCAAGGCUUCUUUUUGGCUCCCGCAACCGUCACAUGGGGCCCGCUUCCCUGCCAUCUCUCAGCCCCUGCCCCAUUCUCUGAGCACUGGUCCCAGUUAGUCAUUGACCAGCAGCUACCUUGUGCUAAUUGACUUUAGCCAGCGUUCGCCCACCCUUUUCUGUCCCGCUCUGCAGAGAAGGGACAGCAAAGCUGACUGAAACUGACAAGAUUUCUUUUCAUAAAAGAAAAGGGAGCGAGCCUACACUGGCUCCAUCAAAGACUUUUAUUAAAGCCACACGGGGAAAAAGCUGCCCUCUCAGACAGCUGUCGGUAUCGAGAAAACAUGAAAGAAACCAUCAGCUAUAAUCAGCUCAGGAAAUUUAUUGCAUGUUUGACCCUGAUGUGGCUGUGUGCUGCUCAAGGAAGAUUUCUUUGAAGGUGUUGCAAGUUUAUUGAUUGUGAAAAAUGUCAGUGUGUCACAUGCCCAAUGAACUUGGCACUUCUUGCAAUCAAUACACUAAUUGCCUUCUCUUUAGAGAGGCCUUUAAUGUAAUUAACCCUCCCCCCCACUUGUUUUGCCAACUAUCAUGUUUUAAUAAAUAGUUGAUCUGGGCUCUCUAUCCAGAGUGCCUCGGCAGAACGGAGGGGAUGGAUUUCGUAGAGGAGACUGGCUUUCUCAUAGAGACCUAGCAUCCAUUUUCAGGAGCCCAUAAAGCUGUAUAUCAACUUAGCAGCAGUGCCUAUGUAACCCUCACACCUUCUGGGUGUGGUAUUCUGUCCCAUCUAAUGGCACUGACACUGCUUAGAGAGACAAAGAGAUUGUAUCUGCUCUACAGCCUUAGCUAAUAGCCAGUUGGCUUUUAGCUCAGACACUAAACUCCAGAGGUCCCUGGUUCAAUCCUGCACACCAGAGACCAGGGUCUGUUGGAGUGAUAGAACACUACACCCAGAAAGUGUGUGGGUGACAUCUAGUCAGAGCCAAAGGCCUCAUUAUACUGAUUCAAUAACUGGUUUGUCUGUGCCUCUCUUCAGAUACAGAGGGACAAAAUCCCUUUAGUGGGGAAGAAUGUAAGAGACCGGAAAGGUCCUAACCUCUCUGGACACUGAAUGGGGUGGCUGUUCAUGUGCUGGUGCAGGAAGGUCAUGUCUGAAAUGAAAUGUUAGGAGAUGCACAGAUGGCAGCCUUGGGUUUGCUGGAAGCUCCAAUGUCACUCUUAAUUUACAUAUAUAUUGGCAGUGGCAAAAUUGAUAUAGCAGAGAUUAACUGAGGUUACAAACUGACUAACUGAUAGAUCUCAAGAUGUAAGUGUUAAUGGGGGAUCAGCACCUAAUGGAGGUGUUUCUAGGGCGUUCCCACAUGUAACUAUGUCCAGUGCUAUUCAAUAUAUUUCUCAAUGAUCUGGAAUAAACUAUAUCAUUGCUGGUAAAGUCUGCAGCUGAUACACAAAGAUUGGUGGGUGGUUAAUGAUGAGGGCAGAUCAGUGAUAGAGAGCAGUCUGGAUCCCUUGGUUUGCUGGGUGUGAUCAAACAACAGGUGUUUUAAUGCAGUUAGCUCCAAGGUCACCAGUUUGGAACCAAACAUGUAGGUCGCACUGAGAAGGUGUGGGGCUGUGUCCUGGAAAGCAGGGACUCUGGAAAUGACUUAGGGUCAGAGCAGAAACCAGCUGAACAUGAGCACACAAUGCAGUGCUGGGGCUGAGGGUGAACCUGGUGUAGACACCCCUCUGCUAGGCAGAGAGCUCACAGGAGCUGGGAUCGGGGCUCCUCGUGUGCUUAGGGGAAGCCAUGUAUAUUUAUGUCCCCAUAGUAACAGUGUCUUAGGAGGGGUAAUGCAGGCACAGAUCUACAGGGAACUGUGAUGUCAGAGCAGGCAAGCUCUGCCCAGCCUCUCUAGCCUGCUCUCAGGCCACAAGUUUGGCUUCCA